Molecule: long non-coding RNA, 604 nt
Filed under: Monodelphis domestica (gray short-tailed opossum)
Lineage: Eukaryota; Metazoa; Chordata; Mammalia; Didelphimorphia; Didelphidae
Description: lncRNA (ENSMODG00000032452.2)
Source: RNAcentral
AUGCUCAAGCACAGAACUCAAGAGAAUCAUCAAAAGAAUUCUUUCUGGAUGUAUGACCCAUCAGUGUUGAAUCCCAGCACUACUCCAGGGAUUGCCCAGGCCAUUGUCAACUCACAACAAGAUUCUUGGAGAAAUUAUUACCCUAAUCAUCAAAUGAGAAGAGAAAACCAAUGCUGGAAUUUCUUCUUUCAACAACAACAGAACCCAGCUGAGUUUCGAAAUCAUUAUUAUCAUCACCAAGCAACUGUUCCUACCAAUUCCAAUACUUAUUUGAAUCCUAAUUCUUCUGUUCAAUCCAACUAUAGAAUGGACUAGUCACAGAGUCUGUCAUCAUAUAACAACUCAGAAUAGCAAACAAGUAGUACAAAUUACCAAGCUGGACUACCUUAUUACCCUAGGGCCAACUCAAUGACUGGAGCACAUUCAUUCCACCUGGAAUUUUAAUACAAUCAUAAACCCCAGGCAUGGUGCUCAUAUACUUUCUACCUCACUCUCCAGUCUGCUCUAUGUAAAAAUUAAAAUUAGUCAUAACUGUAAAAAUUAAAACAUCGUAUUUUAAAAUAUUUAUUAAUGAUCAUUAGAAAUAAAGGAAUAUAAGGUAACA